This 22-nucleotide microRNA is filed under the name Macaca mulatta (Rhesus monkey). Its description in RNAcentral is "mml-miR-7185-5p". The record is from miRBase by way of RNAcentral. Lineage: Eukaryota; Metazoa; Chordata; Mammalia; Primates; Cercopithecidae.
UCAGGAUCAGGAUCUGCAGAGC